UCCACGAUGAUUGUAAGUUUCCUGAGGCCUCCCUAGCCCUGCGGAACUACCACAGAUGACAUCCUUGUGGCGUCAGCAGAGUGUCCCAGCGAUGAUGAGGACAUUGACCCCUGUGAGCCGAGCUCAGGUGGGUUAGCCAACCCAACCCGAGCAGGCGGCAGAGAGCCAUACCCAGGCUCAGCAGAAGUGAUCCGGGAGUCCAGCAGCACCACGGGUAUGGUCGUUGGGAUAGUAGCUGCUGCCGCCCUGUGCAUCCUUAUCCUCCUCUAUGCCAUGUACAAGUACAGAAACCGGGAUGAAGGCUCAUACCAUGUGGAUGAGAGUCGAAACUACAUCAGUAACUCAGCACAGUCCAAUGGGGCUGUCGUAAAGGAGAAACAACCCAGCAGUGCGAAAAGCUCCAACAAAAAUAAGAAAAACAAGGAUAAAGAGUAUUAUGUCUGAUCCCAAGAUCUUAAAUGGACACUUGUAUAGAAAUAGUCUUCAUUUUAUCUGAGACAUAAUAUAAACUUAUUUACUUUCCUUUUUAUGAAGCACAUACAAAAGAAGACAGGGAAUGCAAUCAGGAAGGAAAGACUUUUUAAAAAAUAAAAAGUAUCUCAUGCUCUUGUUUCUCAAAAAAGAAAAACAAAAAACAAAAAACAGGGGCCAAUAAAUUCCCUAACAUCCACAGUGUUUUCAUUUACUCUGCUUGUCUUUAUGUUGCUGGAACAUUUCUAAAAGACAGUGAUGACCGCACGCAUUCAUAAAGCAA
Molecule: small RNA, 754 nt
Filed under: Pongo abelii (Sumatran orangutan)
Lineage: Eukaryota; Metazoa; Chordata; Mammalia; Primates; Hominidae
Description: processed transcript
Source: RNAcentral